Molecule: non-coding RNA, 73 nt
Organism: Neohortaea acidophila
Lineage: Eukaryota; Fungi; Ascomycota; Dothideomycetes; Mycosphaerellales; Teratosphaeriaceae
Source: the annotation of a RefSeq genome assembly
GCCGGCAUGGUGUAGUGGUAGCACGCUUGGACUCCGGAUCCAGAGGCCCUCGUUCGAUUCGAUGGUGCUGGCA